Molecule: ribosomal RNA, 896 nt
Filed under: Bacillus pumilus
Lineage: Bacteria; Bacillati; Bacillota; Bacilli; Caryophanales; Bacillaceae
Description: bacterial SSU rRNA
Rfam family: Bacterial small subunit ribosomal RNA
Source: RNAcentral
AAUGACCGAAUAUCCGUAACGCAUGCAAGUCGAGCGGACAGAAGGGAGCUUGCUGCUGGAUGUUACCGGCGGACGGGUGAGUAACACGUGGGUAACCUGCCUGUAAGACUGGGAUAACUCCGGGAAACCGGAGCUAAUACCAAGCUAGUUCCUUGAACCGCAUGGUUCAAGGAUGAAAGACGGUUUCGGCUGUCACUUACAGAUGGACCCGCGGCGCAUUAGCUAGUUGGUGAGGUAACGGCUCACCAAGGCGACGAUGCGUAGCCGACCUGAGAGGGUGAUCGGCUACACUGGGACUGAGACAAUUCGACCUACGGGAGGCAGCAGUAGGGAAUCUUCGAUAAUGGACGAAAGUCUGACGGAGCAACGCCGCGUGAGUGAUGAAGGUUUUCGGAUCGUAAAAGCUCUGGUUGUUAGGGGAAGAAGGUGCAAGAGUAACUGCUUGCACCUUGACGGUACCUAACCAGAAAGCCACGGCAAACUACGUGCCAGCAGCCGCGGUAAUACGUAGGUGGCAAGCGUUGUCCGGAAUUAUUGGGCGUAAAGGGCACGCAGGCGGUUUCUUAAACCUAGGCAGCCCCCGGCUCAACCGGGGAGGGUCAUUGGAAACUGGGAAACUUGAGUGUAGAAGAGGAGAGUGGAAUUCCACGUGUAGCGGUGAAAUGCGUAGAGAUGUGGAGGAACACCAGUGGCGAAGGCGACUCUCUGGUCUGUAACUGACGCUGAGGAGCGAAAGCGUGGGGAGCGAACAGGCGGAGAUACCCUGGUAGUCCACGCCGUAAACGAUGAGUGCUAAGUGUUAGGGGGUUUCCGCCCCUUAGUGCUGCAGCUUACCGCAUUAAGCACUCCGCCUGGGGAGUACGGUCGCAAGACGUGAAACUCAAAGGAAUUGACGA